GUGCCUGGCUGCAAAGGAGCAUCCAGCAAGGAGCCCAGAGACACAGGUUUUUUGCUACAUCGUUAUUUUGCUACCCAGUGGUUUGUAGGGCUGGAUGUCAGCUGUUUGCCAAAGGCCCUGGAGCAGCAGUCCUCAGGAAUGUAUCUGUGCAACAAGCAGUCAUCUAAAGAAAGUAUAUUCACUGAAAGCUGCUUUUUCAGUGUGAAGGUGAAGCCAUUGUGAGCAGCAAAUCAAGGUGGGCUCCUCUGAGAAGGAAAACAACAAAUCUGAGAGGAUCUGGCAGCCCAGUGGGUUGUGCACUGGGGGAAGCAGGUUUGUGCUUAACAGUGCUU
Molecule: long non-coding RNA, 332 nt
Filed under: Serinus canaria (Common canary)
Lineage: Eukaryota; Metazoa; Chordata; Aves; Passeriformes; Fringillidae
Description: lncRNA (ENSSCAG00000002941.1)
Source: RNAcentral